Molecule: ribosomal RNA, 473 nt
Filed under: Bacillus sp. (in: firmicutes)
Lineage: Bacteria; Bacillati; Bacillota; Bacilli; Caryophanales; Bacillaceae
Description: bacterial SSU rRNA
Rfam family: Bacterial small subunit ribosomal RNA
Source: RNAcentral
UGCAAGUCGAGCGAAUGGAUUAAGAGCUUGCUCUUAUGAAGUUAGCGGCGGACGGGUGAGUAACACGUGGGUAACCUGCCCAUAAGACUGGGAUAACUCCGGGAAACCGGGGCUAAUACCGGAUAACAUUUUGAACCGCAGGUUCGAAAUUGAAAGGCGGCUUCGGCUGUCACUUAUGGAUGGACCCGCGUCGCAUUAGCUAGUUGGUGAGGUAACGGCUCACCAAGGCAACGAUGCGUAGCCGACCUGAGAGGGUGAUCGGCCACACUGGGACUGAGACACGGCCCAGACUCCUACGGGAGGCAGCAGUAGGGAAUCUUCCGCAAUGGACGAAAGUCUGACGGAGCAACGCCGCGUGAGUGAUGAAGGCUUUCGGGUCGUAAAACUCUGUUGUUAGGGAAGAACAAGUGCUAGUUGAAUAAGCUGGCACCUUGACGGUACCUAACCAGAAAGCCACGGCUAACUACGUGCCA